RNAcentral lists this transfer RNA (72 nucleotides) under Camelus bactrianus (Bactrian camel). It matches the Rfam family "tRNA". From Rfam's summary of the family: Transfer RNA (tRNA) molecules are approximately 80 nucleotides in length. Their secondary structure includes four short double-helical elements and three loops (D, anti-codon, and T loops). Further hydrogen bonds mediate the characteristic L-shaped molecular structure. tRNAs have two regions of fundamental functional importance: the anti-codon, which is responsible for specific mRNA codon recognition, and the 3' end, to which the tRNAs corresponding amino acid is attached (by aminoacyl-tRNA synthetases). tRNAs cope with the degeneracy of the genetic code in two manners: having more than one tRNA (with a specific anti-codon) for a particular amino acid; and 'wobble' base-pairing, i.e. permitting non-standard base-pairing at the 3rd anti-codon position. Lineage: Eukaryota; Metazoa; Chordata; Mammalia; Artiodactyla; Camelidae. RNAcentral also lists the same sequence under 3 other names. The record is from Rfam by way of RNAcentral.
GAGGGUAGAGCUCAGUGGUAGAGCAUAUGCUUAGCAUGCAUGAGGUCCUGGGUUCAAUCCCCAGUACCUCCA